RNAcentral lists this small nuclear RNA (107 nucleotides) under Neogale vison (American mink). Lineage: Eukaryota; Metazoa; Chordata; Mammalia; Carnivora; Mustelidae. The record is from RNAcentral.
GUGCUCAAUUCAGCAGCACAUCUACUAAAAUUGGAAAGACAGAGAGAAGAUUAGCAUGGCCCCUAUGCAAGGAUGACACACAAAUUCUUGAAGCAAUCCAUAUUUAA